Molecule: ribosomal RNA, 253 nt
Filed under: uncultured bacterium
Lineage: Bacteria
Description: partial 16S ribosomal RNA
Rfam family: Bacterial small subunit ribosomal RNA
Source: RNAcentral
UACGAAAGGGGCUAGCGUUGUUCGGAAUUACUGGGCGUAAAGCGCACGUAGGCGGCCUUGUAAGUUGGGGGUGAAAUCCCGGAGCUCAACUCCGGAACUGCCUCCAAAACUACAAAGCUCGAGGAUGUGAGAGGAGAGUGGAAUUCCGAGUGUAGAGGUGAAAUUCGUAGAUAUUCGGAAGAACACCAGUGGCGAGGGCGACUCUCUGGCAAAUUUCUGACGCUGAGGUGCGAAAGCGUGGCGAGCAAACAGG